UAUAUUAAUUAGUAAAUGUGUAUGUAAUUUAAAUAUAAGUAAAGUAGUAACAAAAAUGUAAAAUAGUAAAAGUGGUGUAAUUCUUUUUGUGAUUAUAAGUGUUUUUUGAAAUAUUUUAUUGUGAUUAUAAUUCUUUUUGAGAUGGAAUAUGCUCAUAUUUAGAUACCAAAAUGAAGUAGAGAUACCAAUAUUGUUGAACGGUUAAGAUUGUCUACUUUGAAUGGUAAACCCGAUUAGGUAUUUGAAUUCGUGAUUAAGAGAUCACUACUCCUAACCCACCCGAAAUUAAAAACGUUGAUCCUACAAGCUUUAAUAGAUUGAGUUGAUAUGCACAUCCAUUCUUUAUGCACCUCUGUUUCUUCCUUAUGUUUUGUUUGGUUUGGUUUCUUUAUUAAAGUCGAGACUGUUUAGUAUGCCAAAAAAAAA
This 426-nucleotide small RNA is filed under the name Arabidopsis thaliana (thale cress). RNAcentral's name for it is "ATSL104300". Lineage: Eukaryota; Viridiplantae; Streptophyta; Magnoliopsida; Brassicales; Brassicaceae. The record is from RNAcentral.